RNAcentral lists this ribosomal RNA (254 nucleotides) under uncultured bacterium. RNAcentral's name for it is "partial 16S ribosomal RNA". It matches the Rfam family "Bacterial small subunit ribosomal RNA", at positions 524 to 776 of the family's 1533-position model. The record is from RNAcentral.
UACGAAGGGGGCGAGCGUUGUUCGGAAUUACUGGGCGUAAAGGGCGCGUAGGCGGCCGAUCUAGUCAGAUGUGAAAGUCCUGGGCUUAACCUGGGGACUGCAUUUGAUACUGAUUGGCUUGAAUGCAGGAGAGGAUAGCGGAAUUCCCAGUGUAGAGGUGAAAUUCGUAGAUAUCGGGAGGAACACCGGUGGCGAAGGCGGUUCUCUGGGCCUGUACUGACGCUGAGGAGCGAAAGCGUGGGGGAGCAAACAGG